Dunckerocampus dactyliophorus (ringed pipefish) is the source of this 311-nucleotide long non-coding RNA. RefSeq lists it as uncharacterized. The transcript has 3 exons. Lineage: Eukaryota; Metazoa; Chordata; Actinopteri; Syngnathiformes; Syngnathidae. The record is from RefSeq and is a predicted model, not a curated record.
CUAAAUUAAUAAUUUUUGUAAUUCCAGUCUAUGUCAGCAUUUGUCUUACAGCGUUCCUGCCGGCCGACCUUCCCUGUCCUUUGUCUGCUGUGUGGGGCAGCAAAACUCUCUUAACCAGGGUGUUACUCACCAAUGAGGAAAACUGGCAUGAAGGCCCCGCAUGGAACGGGCAUGGUGGUGGCCACGGCGGACAUCCAGAACUGAGGAGGAGGAGACUGUCACUGGAGUGAUGGGAAGAAAAGCUCUGACUUGCUUGAGGAGAAGUCAUUCGGCACCACCUGAUGGUUUGCAUGUAUAAAUCUCUGUACCCC